UACGUAGGGGGCAAGCGUUGUCCGGAUUUAUUGGGCGUAAAGAGCGUGUAGGCGGCCAGGUAGGUCUGCUGUGAAAACUCGAGGCUCAACCUCGAGACGUCGGCGGAAACCAUCUGGCUAGAGUCCGGAAGAGGAGAGUGGAAUUCCUGGUGUAGCGGUGGAAUGCGCAGAUAUCAGGAAGAACACCCGUGGCGAAGGCGGCUGGCUGGGCCGACCCUGACGCUGAGGCGCGAAAGCGUGGGGAGCGAACCGG
Molecule: ribosomal RNA, 253 nt
Filed under: uncultured bacterium
Lineage: Bacteria
Description: partial 16S ribosomal RNA
Rfam family: Bacterial small subunit ribosomal RNA
Source: RNAcentral